GACGAACGCUGGCGGCGUGCUUAACACAUGCAAGUCGAACGGAAAGGCCCUGCUUUUGUGGGGUGCUCGAGUGGCGAACGGGUGAGUAACACGUGAGUAACCUGCCCUUGACUUCGGGAUAACUUCAGGAAACUGGGGCUAAUACCGGAUAGGAGCUCCUGCUGCAUGGUGGGGGUUGGAAAGUUUCGGCGGUUGGGGAUGGACUCGCGGCUUAUCAGCUUGUUGGUGGGGUAGUGGCUUACCAAGGCUUUGACGGGUAGCCGGCCUGAGAGAGUGACCGGCCACAUUGGGACUGAGAUACGGCCCAGACUCCUACGGGAGGCAGCAGUGGGGAAUAUUGCACAAUGGGCGGAAGCCUGAUGCAGCAACGCCGCGUGCGGGAUGACGGCCUUCGGGUUGUAAACCGCUUUCGCCUGUGACGAAGCGUGAGUGACGGUAAUGGGUAAAGAAGCACCGGCUAACUACGUG
This 468-nucleotide ribosomal RNA is filed under the name uncultured bacterium. Its description in RNAcentral is "partial 16S ribosomal RNA". It matches the Rfam family "Bacterial small subunit ribosomal RNA", at positions 28 to 507 of the family's 1533-position model. The record is from RNAcentral.